CCUACGGGAGGCAGCAGUGGGGGAUAUUGCACAAUGGGGGGAACCCUGAUGCAGCGACGCCGCGUGGGUGAAGAAGCGCCUCGGCGCGUAAAGCCCUGUCAGCAGGGAAGAAAAUGACGGUACCUGAAGAAGAAACCCCGGCUAACUACGUGCCAGCAGCCGCGGGAAUACGUAGGGGGCAAGCGUGAUCCGGGUUUACUGGGUGUAAAGGGGGCGCAGACGGGGAUGCAAGCCAGGAGUGAAAGCCCGGGGCCCAACCCCGGGACUGCUCUUGGAACUGCGUGGCUGGAGUGCAGGAGGGGCAGGCGGAAUUCCUGGUGUAGCGGUGAAAUGCGUAGAUAUAAGGAGGAACACCGGUGGCGAAGGCGGUCUGCUGGACUGCAACUGACGUUGAGGCGCGAAAGCGUGGGGAGCAAACAGGAUUAGAUACCCGGGUAGUC
Molecule: ribosomal RNA, 440 nt
Filed under: uncultured bacterium
Lineage: Bacteria
Description: partial 16S ribosomal RNA
Rfam family: Bacterial small subunit ribosomal RNA
Source: RNAcentral